Molecule: ribosomal RNA, 454 nt
Filed under: uncultured Bifidobacterium sp.
Lineage: Bacteria; Bacillati; Actinomycetota; Actinomycetes; Bifidobacteriales; Bifidobacteriaceae
Description: bacterial SSU rRNA
Rfam family: Bacterial small subunit ribosomal RNA
Source: RNAcentral
CGGAUGCUCCAGUUGGAUGCAUGUCCUUCUGGGAAAGAUUCAUCGGUAUGGGAUGGGGUCGCGUCCUAUCAGCUUGAUGGCGGGGUAACGGCCCACCAUGGCUUCGACGGGUAGCCGGCCUGAGAGGGCGACCGGCCACAUUGGGACUGAGAUACGGCCCAGACUCCUACGGGAGGCAGCAGUGGGGAAUAUUGCACAAUGGGCGCAAGCCUGAUGCAGCGACGCCGCGUGCGGGAUGACGGCCUUCGGGUUGUAAACCGCUUUUGACUGGGAGCAAGCCCUUCGGGGUGAGUGUACCUUUCGAAUAAGCACCGGCUAACUACGUGCCAGCAGCCGCGGUAAUACGUAGGGUGCAAGCGUUAUCCGGAAUUAUUGGGCGUAAAGGGCUCGUAGGCGGUUCGUCGCGUCCGGUGUGAAAGUCCAUCGCUUAACGGUGGAUCCGCGCCGGGUACGG